Molecule: ribosomal RNA, 497 nt
Filed under: uncultured bacterium
Lineage: Bacteria
Description: partial 16S ribosomal RNA
Rfam family: Bacterial small subunit ribosomal RNA
Source: RNAcentral
GAUGAACGCUGGCGGCGUGCCUAAUACAUGCAAGUCGAGCGAACAGACGAGGAGCUUGCUCCUUCGACGUUAGCGGCGGACGGGUGAGUAACACGUAGGUAACCUACCUAUAAGACUGGGAUAACUUCGGGAAACCGGAGCUAAUACCGGAUAAUAUUUCGAACCGCAUGGUUCGAUAGUGAAAGAUGGCUUUGCUAUCACUUAUAGAUGGACCUGCGCCGUAUUAGCUAGUUGGUAAGGUAACGGCUUACCAAGGCAACGAUACGUAGCCGACCUGAGAGGGUGAUCGGCCACACUGGAACUGAGACACGGUCCAGACUCCUACGGGAGGCAGCAGUAGGGAAUCUUCCGCAAUGGGCGAAAGCCUGACGGGGCAACGCCGCGUGAGUGAUGAAGGUCUUCGGAUCGUAAAACUCUGUUAUUAGGGAAGAACAAACGUGUAAGUAACUGUGCACGUCUUGACGGUACCUAAUCAGAAAGCCACGGCUAACUACAUG